This 816-nucleotide ribosomal RNA is filed under the name uncultured bacterium. RNAcentral describes it as "bacterial SSU rRNA". It matches the Rfam family "Bacterial small subunit ribosomal RNA", at positions 636 to 1451 of the family's 1533-position model. The record is from RNAcentral.
UNUGACUUGAGUGCAGAAGGGGAGAGUGGAAUUCCAUGUGUAGCGGUGAAAUGCGUAGAUAUAUGGAGGAACACCAGUGGCGAAAGCGGCUCUCUGGUCUGUCACUGACGCUGAGGCUCGAAAGCGUGGGUAGCGAACAGGAUUAGAUACCCUGGUAGUCCACGCCGUAAACGAUGAGUGCUAGGUGUUAGGCCCUUUCCGGGGCUUAGUGCCGGAGCUAACGCAAUAAGCACUCCGCCUGGGGAGUACGACCGCAAGGUUGAAACUCAAAGGAAUUGACGGGGGCCCGCACAAGCGGUGGAGCAUGUGGUUUAAUUCGAAGCAACGCGAAGAACCUUACCAGGUCUUGACAUCCCGAUGCUAUUCUUAGAGAUAGGAAGUUACUUCGGUACAUCGGAGACAGGUGGUGCAUGGUUGUCGUCAGCUCGUGUCGUGAGAUGUUGGGUUAAGUCCCGCAACGAGCGCAACCCUUAUUGUUAGUUGCCAUCAUUAAGUUGGGCACUCUAGCGAGACUGCCGGUAAUAAACCGGAGGAAGGUGGGGAUGACGUCAAAUCAUCAUGCCCCUUAUGACCUGGGCUACACACGUGCUACAAUGGUCGGUACAACGAGUUGCGAGCCGGUGACGGCAAGCUAAUCUCUGAAAGCCGAUCUCAGUUCGGAUUGGAGGCUGCAACUCGCCUCCAUGAAGUCGGAAUCGCUAGUAAUCGCGGAUCAGCACGCCGCGGUGAAUACGUUCCCGGGCCUUGUACACACCGCCCGUCACACCACGAGAGUUUGUAACACCCGAAGUCGGUGAGGUAACCUUUUAGGGGCCA